RNAcentral lists this ribosomal RNA (301 nucleotides) under uncultured bacterium. RNAcentral's name for it is "partial 16S ribosomal RNA". It matches the Rfam family "Bacterial small subunit ribosomal RNA", at positions 509 to 807 of the family's 1533-position model. The record is from RNAcentral.
CAGCCGCCGCGGGAAUACGAAGGGGGCUAGCGUUGUUCGGAAUCACUGGGCGUAAAGCGCACGUAGGCGGAUCUUUAAGUCAGGGGUGAAAUCCCGAGGCUCAACCUCGGAACUGCCUUUGAUACUGGGGAUCUGGAGUCCGGGAGAGGUGAGUGGAACUGCGAGUGUAGAGGUGAAAUUCGUAGAUAUUCGCAAGAACACCAGUGGCGAAGGCGGCUCACCGGCCCGGUACUGACGCUGAGGUGCGAAAGCGUGGGGAGCAAACAGGAUUAGAUACCCCAGUAGUCCCUGUCUCUUAUAC